RNAcentral lists this long non-coding RNA (491 nucleotides) under Gallus gallus (chicken). RNAcentral's name for it is "lncRNA (ENSGALG00010022856.1)". Lineage: Eukaryota; Metazoa; Chordata; Aves; Galliformes; Phasianidae. The record is from RNAcentral.
AUUAAAUCGAAGGCAGCCGGCACAGCAAGGUCGUACACGGCAGGAAGGAGAAGGUGAAUUUCUGCUGUCAGCUGGGAAUGGAGCAGGAGGAAAAACAACGGAGUGACCCAGUUAAUGGGUGUCAAUCAGGGGGUGGUGGAGCUGGGAGUGGAAGCGCUCCGCAGCUCUGCUGAUGUUUGUUGCACAGCACAGAGCUGUCUCGUCCCACACAGCUCCUGGAGGUCCGGGCACGUGCUCCAGAUGGGAUUUGACAGCAACAGCUAAGAAGCAUCUCAGCCUGCAAAAAAUUCUCCCUGGGAUGGUACUUCUCCCUCCAGCAGCCAGGAAGGGAAAUGGAACAGCUCGGUGAUGCUCAAGAGUGUUCAGCAAAGGCAGAGAAUGGACAGGACCUCUUAUCUCCAUCCUCCCAGGAAGGUGCCAGAACCCACGGUGCCCUCCUGCCUAUUUCAUCUCACUGCCUGCAACCUGCCCACCCACUUAUUCACUCCAAG